Long non-coding RNA from Aethina tumida (small hive beetle), 440 nucleotides. RefSeq lists it as uncharacterized. The transcript is spliced from 3 exons. NCBI's taxonomy places the organism in Eukaryota, Metazoa, Arthropoda, Insecta, Coleoptera, Nitidulidae. The record is from RefSeq and is a predicted model, not a curated record.
UAAAUUACUUGAAGAAAUUCUGCCAAUACGAAAAUGGUAGAUCUUUUAAACAAGAUAUGUGUUAACAAUUAAAUGUAGAACUAAAUUUAACCUGUAACUAAUAUUUUAGUGUCAAGUUACAGGUGGGUACUCAUUAGUUUUACUAAAUGAGCAGUAUUUUGUGAUGUCAUGAUUUCGAGUAUGAAUCGACAAAAUGUUAUAAACAGGUUAUGUAUGGAAUAAUCAACGUGCAUGAAAAAGAGAAAGUCGUAAUACGAUGUUUAUGAUCAAAAUAAAAUAAUUCGUGAUACAAGAGGUCGACAUGUCAUGAAAUAUAGGUUAUGUAUAGACAGAAACGAAUAAAGGAAGUAAAUUCUUAGAAUUUUCAAGCAAUUUAUCUCGUUCAAAGAUUAAAGGGUGCAUUAGGUCUUUAUGUAUCUGUGUGUGAAAAAUGAGUCCAA